Molecule: ribosomal RNA, 791 nt
Filed under: uncultured Chlorophyta
Lineage: Eukaryota; Viridiplantae; Chlorophyta
Description: bacterial SSU rRNA
Rfam family: Bacterial small subunit ribosomal RNA
Source: RNAcentral
AGUGGCGGACGGGUGAGUAACGSGUAAGAAUCUACCUUUAGGAGGGGGAAAACMACUGGAAACGGUUGCUAACACCCCAUAUGCUGAGGAGUAAAAUACAUUGUGCCUAGAGAUGAGCUUGCGUCUGAUUAGUUAGUUGGUAAGGUAAUUGCUUCCCAAGACUAUGAUCAGUAGCUGGUNUGAGAGGAUGAUCAGCCACACUGGGACUGAGACACGGCCCAGACUCCUACGGGAGGCAGCAGUGAGGAAUUUUCCGCAAUGGGCGAAAGCCUGACGGAGCAAUGCCGCGUGGAGGAUGAAAGCCUAUGGGUUGUAAACUCCUUUUCUCAGAGAAGAAAUUUUGACGGUAUCUGAGGAAUAAGCAUCGGCUAACUCCGUGCCAGCAGCCGCGGUAAUACGGGGGAUGCAAGUGUUAUCCGGAAUAAUUGGGCGUAAAGCGUCUGUAGGUGGUUUACCAAGUCUGUUGUUAAAAAUCAGGGCUCAACCCUGAUCCGGCAACAGAAACUAGUAGACUUGAGUACGGUAGGGGCAGAGGGAAUUCUCGGUGUAGUGGUGAAAUACGUAGAUAUCGAGAAGAACACCAAUAGCGAAAGCACUCUGCCGGGCCGAAACUGACAUUGAGAGACGAAGGCUAGGGGAGCAAAAGGGAUUAGAUACCCCUGUAGUCCUAGCCGUAAACGAUGGAUACUAAGUGCUGUGCGACUCAAAACGUCCAGUGCUGUAGCUAACGCGUGAAGUAUCCCGCCUGGGGAGUAUGCUCGCAAGAGUGAAACUCAAAUGAAUUGACGGGG